This 273-nucleotide ribosomal RNA is filed under the name uncultured bacterium. RNAcentral's name for it is "partial 16S ribosomal RNA". It matches the Rfam family "Bacterial small subunit ribosomal RNA", at positions 524 to 796 of the family's 1533-position model. The record is from RNAcentral.
UACGUAGGUGGCAAGCGUUGUCCGGAUUUACUGGGCGUAAAGGGAGCGUAGGCGGACUUUUAAGUGGGAUGUGAAAUACCCGGGCUUAACCUGGGUGCUGCAUUCCAAACUGGGAGUCUAGAGUGCAGGAGGGGAAAGUGGAAUUCCUAGUGUAGCGGUGAAAUGCGUAGAGAUUAGGAAGAACACCAGUGGCGAAGGCGACUUUCUGGACUGUAACUGACGCUGAGGCUCGAAAGCGUGGGGAGCGAACAGGAUUAGAAACCCCCGUAGUCC